This is a long non-coding RNA of Magallana angulata, 754 nucleotides long. RefSeq lists it as uncharacterized. Lineage: Eukaryota; Metazoa; Mollusca; Bivalvia; Ostreida; Ostreidae. The transcript has 3 exons. The record is from RefSeq and is a predicted model, not a curated record.
CUCAUACAACACUGGACCAAACGGUGCCUAUCAGGGAUCGUAUUAUGCGUACAUCGAGGCGUCUGCUCCACGUGUUUCUGGUGAUAGGGCUUUUCUGCGAAGCAACGAGAUAUUCCACGGAUCGAGUCUAUUGCUUUAAAAUGAACUAACACAUGCACUCUGGAUGUCAAUCAUAUGGGAAGUUUGCGUAUUAUGAUAAAGACCGGAACCAGAAGGCCAGUGACGCAAUGGGAAGUCUCCGGAAAUCAAGGAUUACUCUGGAGGAGUAUGCAAAUCAGUCUAAAGCUGGACUCUAAAACAAACGUAUCUUUUUUUAUCUUAUAUUUUAUUCCCUAAAUUUUCGUAGCUUUUGGUUUAUCAACAUCUUUUUUAGGCAAAAAGACUAUUCAUUUCUAGUUAAUUAAUUAUACAAUAAUAUAUGUUGGCGCCAAGUUUCAAAAAACGGAGGAUUUAAUAUACUUUUAGAUUUCCCAAGGAUCUCUUUAACAAUGACAAGUAAGAAGUGCAAAUUUAACCAAGAUAUACAAGUACUUUUUCAAAUCCUGUGAAUCUCUGUCCAUUAUGGCUGAAAAGCAAUUUUACCCCAUUAUAGAACGAUCCUUGUCGAAGGUGUUGUAGGAAACGGCUGGGCCGGAUACAUCGCUAUCGACAAUGUACGUCUGACUGGAUGUGCUUGUUGAUAGUCAACUUAGUAACUAUAAUGUCGGACAUGAGACGCCAGUUGAGAAUAAGAAGACCACUAAACUGAUUUUGU